CAGGAAGCCGCGAUAACAGCGGAGGACAGUGAGGCCGGUUCCUUAGCAACGGGGGAACGGAGGACGAAGAUGCAGUAGCCCCCACCACCCCCACCACCAUCACUUAUGAUUGACACCCCUGCCUCACAGAUGUUUAUAAAGGAGAAAUUGCUGAGAACUGGUCCACCAUAUAUCUGCACAGGAUAUGUAAAAAUGUUUUUGUUGCAGGUAAUAUUGCAAUGACUUGAAGACUGGAUGCAGCGCCUCUUAUGUUACAGAGAGAAGAAGUUGUGCAGCAGGUGGUGGGACAUUACACAUUGGAGGAAUAUCUCUUUUCAAUGUCCAACAGUAAUUGGCCGGCAUGUUUGGGCUCUAAUUGCCUUGAUAACGCGAUUCCAUGAUGGAUAUCUAAAUGUGAAGAAAAUGUAUCUUCAGCGACAUAUUGCAACCAAGAGAUUUAUAAUUCUGAAUGAAUUCCUUAAAGAG
Long non-coding RNA from Hyla sarda, 465 nucleotides. RefSeq lists it as uncharacterized. Lineage: Eukaryota; Metazoa; Chordata; Amphibia; Anura; Hylidae. The transcript has 4 exons. The record is from RefSeq and is a predicted model, not a curated record.